Molecule: long non-coding RNA, 535 nt
Filed under: Medicago truncatula (barrel medic)
Lineage: Eukaryota; Viridiplantae; Streptophyta; Magnoliopsida; Fabales; Fabaceae
Description: long non-coding RNA (MTRU_LNC007079)
Source: RNAcentral
AUCUCAAGUAAAUACUUGGAAUUUGGUUAGUGCGUUGGAUAAUGAAAUAAUAAUAUUGUGAAGUGUGUGAUAUUGUUUAAAGUAAAAGAGAUGGAGAGAGAGAAAAAAAUCACACACAAGAAGUUAUCCUGGUUCCCCCAAUGUGGGUUAGUCCAGUUCCCACAAUACUGUGAGAUUAUCCACUAGGUAGUUGAGUUAAAACUUAACCUCAACUUCUGCUUUUCUUUUUAGAUCCCUUACUUGAUCUAUACAAUGUCUUUCUUUUCACCCCUUGGGCUUUGCACUAGUUUCACUUACUAGAUUUUUACAAAUAACAAUCACUAAACACUUUUAGUGAUCCUUUUCAAAUAUCUUUGCUUUUGUUGUAUAAUGUUUGAAGCCUUUGUAAAGAACUCAAGUAAAAGAGUUGCUGCUGAAUUUUUGCUACUUCUUGCGAUGAAAGAGCCUUUGAAAUAAUCUUGAUGCUUUGAGAAUCAAGUAUGAUUAUAUGUUCUUAAUGACUCAAUGCCUUUCCUCUUUGCAAGCCCUUGUAUUU